GACGAACGCUGGCGGCGUGCUUAACACAUGCAAGUCGAACGGAAAGGCCCUGCUUUUGUGGGGUGCUCGAGUGGCGAACGGGUGAGUAACACGUGAGUAACCUGCCCUUGACUUUGGGAUAACUUCAGGAAACUGGGGCUAAUACCGGAUAGGAGCUCCUGCUGCAUGGUGGGGGUUGGAAAGUUUCGGCGGUUGGGGAUGGACUCGCGGCUUAUCAGCUGGUUGGUGGGGUAGUGGCUUACCAGGGCUUUGACGGGUAGCCGGCCUGGGAGGGGGACCGGCCACAAUGGGACUGAGAUACGGCGCAGACUGCUACGGGAGGCAGCAGUGGGGAGUAUUGCACAAUGGGCGGAAGCCUGAGGCAGCAACGCCGGGUGCGGGAUGACGGCCUUCGGGUUGUAAACCGCUUUCGCCUGUGACGAAGCGUGAGUGACGGUAAUGGGUAAAGAAGCACCGGCUAACUACGUG
This 468-nucleotide ribosomal RNA is filed under the name uncultured bacterium. Its description in RNAcentral is "partial 16S ribosomal RNA". It matches the Rfam family "Bacterial small subunit ribosomal RNA", at positions 28 to 507 of the family's 1533-position model. The record is from RNAcentral.